RNAcentral lists this transfer RNA (74 nucleotides) under Mixia osmundae IAM 14324. It matches the Rfam family "tRNA". From Rfam's summary of the family: Transfer RNA (tRNA) molecules are approximately 80 nucleotides in length. The record is from Rfam by way of RNAcentral. Lineage: Eukaryota; Fungi; Basidiomycota; Mixiomycetes; Mixiales; Mixiaceae.
AGCGUCAUAGUGCAGCGGUUAACACGUCUGGCUCAUAACCAGAAGAUCGCCGAGUUCGAUUCCGGCUGACGCUU